AGUAAAGUCAGCUAAAAAAGCUUUUGGGCCCAUACCCCAAAAAUGUGGGUUAAAAUCCCCCCUCUACUA
RNAcentral lists this transfer RNA (69 nucleotides) under Oostethus brachyurus (short-tailed pipefish). Its description in RNAcentral is "tRNA-Met". It matches the Rfam family "tRNA". Rfam says of the family: Transfer RNA (tRNA) molecules are approximately 80 nucleotides in length. Their secondary structure includes four short double-helical elements and three loops (D, anti-codon, and T loops). The record is from RNAcentral. Lineage: Eukaryota; Metazoa; Chordata; Actinopteri; Syngnathiformes; Syngnathidae.